Echinops telfairi (small Madagascar hedgehog) is the source of this 2641-nucleotide long non-coding RNA. RefSeq lists it as uncharacterized. The transcript has 5 exons. The record is from RefSeq and is a predicted model, not a curated record. NCBI's taxonomy places the organism in Eukaryota, Metazoa, Chordata, Mammalia, Afrosoricida, Tenrecidae.
GGGGACGAGCCUGCGAGGACCUGAGCGAUGGCACCAUCCUUGUGCCCCCCGUGGGGUGGGCACUCCGUAAGUGUGUUGCUCAGGGCUGACACGGGGCUGCCCAUGCUGGGUGCUUUAUAAGCCUGUACUCAUUUCCCUCGGAGGUUGGCAUUAUCCUCAGGUCACAGACACAGAAACUGACACCCUGAGGGCUGAAGGGACUGGCCCAAGGGGCAAAGGACUAGGAUGCCUGAAACCAAAGUCUGGUUGCUCUGAAACCAGCAUCUUUCCCACCUCCACCCUCUGACCAGUUCUGGUCUCUCAAUCAGAACGGGUCUCCCAUCAGACCUCCAGGCUGCCCAGUAGCAGCCUGACCUCUAAAACUCCAGACCAGGGUGUGUUCCCACCUGGGCAGGAAGGAAGGGCAGGAGGUUUCACUGUGCCCAGUGGGCCAGGCAGGAAAGGCCACCCCUUUUUCCCUCUUCCCAACACCCUGUCUUCCUGCUCACAGUGCUCUCUCCAGCUUGGCCUUUUCCAGCCCCCACCUGGCCACUGCUUUGAUGGUCCAACUGCAGGAAAUCAGAGGUCCCCCUCCCAACAACACCCCACCCCCGCCAUCCGUCCCAGUCCACAGGGGCUCAGGGUCUUCUGGAGUGAGGGGAGCCAUACUGUGCCACCUAUGGGAGGGGCUGGGGGGCCCAGCAGGGGUACACCACAUCCAAACUUCUCCUCAGCCCCGCCCUGCCCCAGAAUUAGUCCUUUUGUCUGCCUCUUGUCUUUCUGGGGUCCUGUCUUUCUCCAGCCUUUCUCUUCCUCCUCUGUCCUUUUAUCUGUCUUCUUGCCCCCUCCUGUUCCUCUUCUUUGUCGCUCGCCUUCUUUCCUGUGCUUGUCUGUCUGUCUGUCUUUCUCUCUCUCUCUCUCUCUCACACUCUCACUCUGUCUUUCUCCCUGGCACAGGCUCCUCCUUGCUUCCUUCCUGUCUCCCUGCUCAUCUUGCUGCAUCCUACAGCUCCCCCAACUGAGCCUUGAGGAUAAUGCUCCAUAGCUUCUCUUGCAGGAGCUCAGCCAGAUACAGCGGAGGGUUCUGGGCCUUCAGACGUCAGCCCCCUGCCAUGCUGAGCACUGGAACUCAGAAGCCGGCUAGGGCUCCAGUUUCUCUGUCUGCAAGUCAUACCAGCCCAGCCCAGGCCCCCACGUCAGGUUGUAAGCCUUGGACAACCUUACAACGAAGCAAGAAUCAUGGUGCCAGGCAAACCAGUUUCUCUCCCCUUGCUGCGAUGAGUAAUGGCCCAGACAGCUGGGAUGGAGAGAUAACAGAAGGCCCAGACUCCACUUCUGGCCCACAGCCCCCACGGUGAGGAUGAGCAGGCACCCGCCCCCCCAAAGGCUGAGCGCAACCUUCCAUGUUCCUGUGGGUCCUCCCAGCUGGCUUGCAAGACUGGGGCCAUCGACACCAGUCCACCGAUGGAACACCCAAGGGAGCCAGAAGGUCUGGAACUCGGUACCAUGGACAUCAGCAUUCUAGAAAGAUCUGCACCCUGGCGGCCUUGAUGGAAGUUUCUAAACAUUGAGUUAAAGAUCAGUAGGAAGUGGCUCUGCCUUGGUGACAGACAGGAAGGUGCUGGAGGCAGAGUCCUCCAGGAAAGCUUAGCGCCCUGGGCCACGGGACCAGAUAGCGACCGGAACCAGGGCUGGGCUGGCUUCUCAGGGACUUUCCAGGCAGAGCCCCCAUCCCUCCCGGGGCAACUCUCCGAGGAAAAGGGGUGUGCAACCCCCUCUUCGCAGACUGUGAAGACGACAGCGUGUGCAUGUGGACAAUGCCAGCACUCCUGAGUCAGGCCAAGCCACUGUCUACCCAACCCCCCUCAGCCCACUCCCACCCCCCCUGCCAGACUCCUGAGGGCCAAUGAGGUGGGCCUUCUCUAACCCAUCAUUGUCACCUCCUGCAGAAGAGAGCCCCGGAGCACAUAGCACUGGUCAUCCUCAUAGCUAGCAUCCGCCACAGGUGAGGGACAUCCUUGAGAGCGGGCCCAUUCAGGCCUCUGACAUACAAGACCACCUGUUUAACUGGGUCAGGGCUGGGGGAGGGAGGGGGGCGGUUCCUUCCCUUCUUCUCACAAACCCGGGCACAGACAAUGACGCUCAGAGAGGUCCAGUGUCACCCGGCAAACAGGCUGGAUGGGCACCCUGUGCCCCCUUGUGAGGGGUCAGGUGGCUUUGACAGCACACGGACAGGGGACACGGCACCCAUUACACUUGUGGGUCUACACUGGAGCUGCUGCCAAAGCUCUGCCGGAGUUUCCUUGGCUGAUCCCAUUCCCCACCCCUCCCACUCUGCCUGGGACACUGGGAAAUGUGGCACUUUGGCCCUUGGUUCUGACCCCACUUGAGGAUUCUAAGUGUCCCCUCUCCUGCCUCCCCCACUGGAUGCCACCACCCAGUGUCAGUGGCCCAGCCUCCCUGUGGGGGACAAACCCCGAGGGUUUCCUCCUUCCUCCUCCCUGCGGGUCAGGAGGAAAUGGUUCUCAUUCCUGCAUGUGAGAGGCGUCCUCUCCCCACUCUGUGCACAUCUUUGGUCAGGGGGCAGAGUUGGGGUGGGCUGGGGACCCAUGGCGGGCGCCUGGCCUGCUGUGCCCCCGCGUGGCCCCUUUGUGCUCUGUGC